GAUGAAUCAAAGAAGGUAAUAAUCCUGUAGUCGAAAAUGUUGUCUCUCUUGAGUGGAUCCUGAGUACGACGGAGCACGUGAAAUUCCGUCGGAAUCUGGGAGGACCAUCUCCUAAGGCUAAAUACUCUCUAGUGACCGAUAGUGAACCAGUACCGUGAGGGAAAGGUGAAAAGCACCCCGGAAGGGGAGUGAAAUAGAACCUGAAACCGUGUGCUUACAAGUAGUCAGAGCCCGUUAAUGGGUGAUGGCGUGCCUUUUGUAGAAUGAACCGGCGAGUUACGAUUUGAUGCAAGGUUAAGCAGUAAAUGUGGAGCCGUAGCGAAAGCGAGUCUGAAUAGGGCGUUUAGUAUUUGGUCGUAGACCCGAAACCAGGUGAUCUACCCUUGGUCAGGUUGAAGUUCAGGUAACACUGAAUGGAGGACCGAACCGACUUACGUUGAAAAGUGAGCGGAUGAACUGAGGGUAGCGGAGAAAUUCCAAUCGAACCUGGAGAUAGCUGGUUCUCUCCGAAAUAGCUUUAGGGCUAGCCUCAAGUGAUGAUUAUUGGAGGUAGAGCACUGUUUGGACGAGGGGCCCCUCUCGGGUUACCGAAUUCAGACAAACUCCGAAUGCCAAUUAAUUUAACUUGGGAGUC
This 634-nucleotide ribosomal RNA is filed under the name Staphylococcus aureus. RNAcentral describes it as "partial 23S ribosomal RNA". It matches the Rfam family "Bacterial large subunit ribosomal RNA", at positions 349 to 985 of the family's 2925-position model. The record is from RNAcentral. Lineage: Bacteria; Bacillati; Bacillota; Bacilli; Caryophanales; Staphylococcaceae.